GCACCCGUAGCUCAACUGGAUAGAGUAGCUGGCUUCGAACCAGUUGGUUGGGGGUUCAAGUCCCUCCGGGUGUACCA
This 77-nucleotide transfer RNA is filed under the name Tissierellia bacterium. RNAcentral describes it as "tRNA-Arg". It matches the Rfam family "tRNA". Rfam says of the family: Transfer RNA (tRNA) molecules are approximately 80 nucleotides in length. Their secondary structure includes four short double-helical elements and three loops (D, anti-codon, and T loops). The record is from RNAcentral. Lineage: Bacteria; Bacillati; Bacillota; Tissierellia.